Molecule: ribosomal RNA, 133 nt
Filed under: Utriculidium durvillei
Lineage: Eukaryota; Phaeophyceae; Ectocarpales; Adenocystaceae
Description: partial nuclear ribosomal small subunit
Rfam family: Eukaryotic small subunit ribosomal RNA
Source: RNAcentral
AUUCGGUGAGGAUUCCGGAUUUUGUUGCUUACGCUUCACGGCGUUUUUGACGAAAGAAGUUAUCCAAACCUCAUGAUUUAGAGGAAGGUGAAGUCGUAACAAGGUUUCCGUAGGUGAACCUGCGGAAGGAUCA